UGGUUCUGGCAUCGAUGAAGAACGCAGCGAAAUGCGAUAAGUAAUGUGAAUUGCAGAAUUCAGUGAAUCAUCGAAUCUUUGAACGCACAUUGCGCCUAUUAGUAUUCUAGUAGGCAUGCCUGUUCGAGCGUCAUUACAACCCUUAAGCUUCAAUGCUUAGUAUUGGGAAUCUACUUACCCGGGAGCUACCCUGUAGCUGCUCUGUAGUUCCUCAAAGUCAGCGGCGGAGUCGCAGACCUCCUCUGAGCUUAGUAGAUCUCUUCUAGCUUCUGAGAGGUGGUGGCCCUAGCCGAAAAACACCCAAUUUUGUAUUGUUGACCUCGGAUCAGGUAGGAAUACCCGCUGA
RNAcentral lists this unclassified non-coding RNA (346 nucleotides) under uncultured fungus. RNAcentral describes it as "partial contains 5.8S ribosomal RNA and internal transcribed spacer 2". The stretch from base 1 to 133 matches the Rfam family "5.8S ribosomal RNA", at positions 22 to 154 of the family's 154-position model. The record is from RNAcentral. Lineage: Eukaryota; Fungi.